UAGUAGGAGUUGUUGUUGGGGAAGUGGUAGGUUUAGUUGUUGAAGUAGUUGUAGUAGAUGUUGGGGUAGUGGUAGGUUUUGUUGUUGAAGUAGUUGUAAUAGUUGUUGGGGUGGUGGUAGGUUUUGUUGUUGGGUUACUGGUAAGAGAUGUUGUUGAAGUAGCUGUAGUAGUUGUAGGUUUUGUUGUUAGGGUAGUGGUAGGUUUAGAUGUUGGGGUAGUGGUUGCAGUUGUUGGGGUAGUGGUAGGAGUUGUUGUUGGGGAGGUGGUAGGUUUAGUUGUGGGAGUAGUUGUAGUAGACGUUGGGGUAGUGGUAGGUUUUGUUGUUGAAGUAGUUGUAAUAGUUGUUGGUGUGGUGGUAGGUUUUGAUGUUGGGGUAGUGGUAGGUUUAGUUGUUGAAGUAGUUG
This is a long non-coding RNA of Oncorhynchus kisutch (coho salmon), 405 nucleotides long. RefSeq lists it as uncharacterized. Lineage: Eukaryota; Metazoa; Chordata; Actinopteri; Salmoniformes; Salmonidae. The record is from RefSeq and is a predicted model, not a curated record. The transcript has 2 exons.